This 253-nucleotide ribosomal RNA is filed under the name uncultured bacterium. Its description in RNAcentral is "partial 16S ribosomal RNA". It matches the Rfam family "Bacterial small subunit ribosomal RNA", at positions 524 to 776 of the family's 1533-position model. The record is from RNAcentral.
UACGUAGGGGGCUAGCGUUGUCCGGAAUCAUUGGGCGUAAAGCGCGUGUAGGCGGCCCGGUAAGUCCGCUCUGAAAGUCGGGGGCUCAACCCUCGGAUGCGGGUGGAUACUGUCGGGCUUGAGUGCGGAAGAGGCGAGUGGAAUUCCUGGUGUAGCGGUGAAAUGCGCAGAUAUCAGGAGGAACACCAAUUGCGAAGGCAGCUCGCUGGGACGUUACUGACGCUGAGACGCGAAAGCGUGGGGAGCAAAUAGG